GAUGAACGCUGGCGGCGUGCCUAAUACAUGCAAGUCGAGCGAACGGACGAGAAGCUUGCUUCUCUGAUGUUAGCGGCGGACGGGUGAGUAAAACGUGGAUAACCUACCUAUAAGACUGGGAUAACUUCGUGAAACCGGAGCUAAUACCGGAUAAUAUUUUGAACCGCAUGGUUCAAAAGUGAAAGACGUUCUUGCUGUCACUUAUAGAUGGAUCCGCGCUGCAUUAGCUAGUUGGUAAGGUAACGGCUUACCAAGGCAACGAUGCAUAGCCGACCUGAGAGGGUGAUCGGCCCAACUGGAUCUGAGUCACGGUCCAGACUCCUACGGGAGCCAGCAGUAGGGAAUUUUCCGCAAUGGGCGAAAGCCUGACGGAGCAACGCCGCGUGAGUGAUGAAGGUCUUCGGAUCGUAAAACUCUGUUAUUAGGGAAGAACAUAUGUGUAAGUAACUGUGCACAUCUUGACGGUACCUAAUCAGAAAGCCACGGCUAACUACGUG
Molecule: ribosomal RNA, 497 nt
Filed under: uncultured bacterium
Lineage: Bacteria
Description: partial 16S ribosomal RNA
Rfam family: Bacterial small subunit ribosomal RNA
Source: RNAcentral